This is a long non-coding RNA of Dromaius novaehollandiae (emu), 1512 nucleotides long. RefSeq lists it as uncharacterized. Lineage: Eukaryota; Metazoa; Chordata; Aves; Casuariiformes; Dromaiidae. The transcript has 2 exons. The record is from RefSeq and is a predicted model, not a curated record.
ACCUGAAUAAAUAGAGCACAAAAACACUUCACAAUUUCUAAAGUUUUUCUAAAAAAAGGAACUGAGGUAAACAGGGUCUGAAAGAAGGAAAGAAUUGUAUUGCUGCUGGUUUAAUCUAACUGAACAUAGUGUUAGUGCUUAAAUAUUAAUAAGAAUUAACAAAAAAUGAUCAAACCUAUGAGGUUCAGAACAUUGAGCUCAUUAAGAUUUGCCAAUGGCUACAUGGUAUUUAAGCAGCUACAAUCACCUCAUCCAUUUUCAAACUGACUAGCAGUCAUCAAGAGAGGCAAUCCUGUACUAUCAUCGUUACAAAUUCACGCAUAGGAUAAACUCAGAGGAUGGCAAGAACAGCAGUCAUGCACAUUUAGCCUGGCGUACCGAGACUGAGAUUGACUGAGUCUGUUAAACCAACUCAAAAACCUGUAAGAAAACUCUUUAUUAGGUUUAUGUCAAUUUUGCAUCAUUUGAUUGCUAACAGUGAGUGAGUGCAUACUGCUGUGAACUGAACAGAAAUAGCUAUUUUAAGCCACAAUUUAUACAGAUUUGGAUCAAGUCUAAUUUAAAAGUUUCCUUAAACCCAUGCAACAUCUUGUUUAAAAAAAGAACACAGUACAGAAACUGAGACUGAGUAAGCAAGAACUCUUUAUUUUUCUACUGAAUAUUAAUCCAAAAUAGGAAUCAAGAGGAGUAACACUGGAUGAAGAAGGCUGACCAAAGUCUUUGGUCGAUAGAUCAGCAAUGGGCUAUCAUCGAUCCCCACUGGCCUCUAGACAACUCACUACCACUUAAGUUGGCUUUCCCAGAUCUGACAUAUACCUCAAUUUCUUCCACAUACAAGGUGAAAAAAUAUAUCCCUUUUUUCCUCACAGGGAAUGCACAAGACAUUUUCUGUCUUGAAGAUGUUGGAAAAAAACUAAAUAGCCAAGCAUCAGACUACUAAAUUUACAGGUUUUGGAACAUCAUCUUCAGAGAAACAAGCUGAAGAGACAGUUGGACAUUAAGGAGCCAAAACAUGGUGUUGCAAUACUGGUGGUCCAUCACAGCAGAGAUGGCUUUGCGUCCUCCCAGAUACAGAUGCAAUUGCAACCUGUGACGUUGUUCUAAUGUCAGAAGUUAGCUGCAAUUGCUUCCUCCUGAUAAGGACCAUCAAAGCUCUGAAGAACUCACUUAAGCAAUCAGACUUUAACUGCGUUUAGAAGAUUUUUUCCCUGGUAUCUCACAAGUUUGGAGAUUAGCAAGUACAUCCUGUCUGAAAUUUCAUACAGCAUAGAGGACAUGGCAUUAUUCUACACGCACUUCCACUCUUGAGGAUACAGAAAACAUUCAGAGCAACAUAGUUCAAUUUCACAUGCUGGGCUUCUCUAUUCCAUUGGGUCCUUAUCUUUCCCCUGGGCACCUAUAAUCUUCUCUACUCUUCAGGCUUACUAGUUGACUUUAAAUUAUUUUUUAAAUGCAGAAUUUUAGUUUGGAGACUUACAAGGAUCAGCGCUUACAUUAAAUUGAAAAAUCAAA